GUUUAAAAAAAAAAAAAUUGGGCCAGUUCUAGUUCAAGAGAGCGGGAACCAUAACCGGCCCGCCUGCCCCCUCCGGUCCUUGUCCAAUUCAAAGACCAGAACCAUUGACCUGGUCCGGUCAGCUCUAUACGCCAUUGUGCUGGUAAUUAUGUUAGCUUAUAUGUUUUUCAUGUGUUUCAGUUACUUCAUCUUGAAUUUAUCUUUCUUAAAGCUACCUGAUCAGUAAAAUUUAGUAAUAUGAGAUAGAUUUGGGGGAAAGGAAUACAUUAUUUGAGUAUACACUUCUGUAGUUGCUAAAGAAAGAAGGGGCAUUUAGGAAAGAGGCUGAAGAUAAAAUGAUCAAUAACCUUUCUUUGAUUCUUUCUAAUAUCUAUGCAGGUUCCUUUUCAUCUGAAGUCUGA
Molecule: unclassified non-coding RNA, 401 nt
Filed under: Hevea brasiliensis (rubber tree)
Lineage: Eukaryota; Viridiplantae; Streptophyta; Magnoliopsida; Malpighiales; Euphorbiaceae
Source: RNAcentral